GACGAACGCUGGCGGCGUGCUUAACACAUGCAAGUCGAACGGAAAGGCCCUGCUUUUGUGGGGUGCUCGAGUGGCGAACGGGUGAGUAACACGUGAGUAACCUGCCCUUGACUUUGGGAUAACUUCAGGAAACUGGGGCUAAUACCGGAUAGGAGCUCCUGCUGCAUGGUGGGGGUUGGAAAGUUUCGGCGGUUGGGGAUGGACUCGCGGCUUAUCAGCUUGUUGGUGGGGUAGUGGCUUACCAAGGCUUUGACGGGUAGCCGGCCUGAGAGGGUGACCGGCCACAUUGGGACUGAGGUACGGCCCAGACGCCUACGGGAGGCAGCAGUGGGGAAUAUUGCACAAUGGGCGGAAGCCUGAUGCAGCAACGCCGCGUGCGGGAUGACGGCCUGCGGGUUGUAAACCGCUUUCGCCUGUGACGAAGCGUUAGUGACGGUAAUGGGUAAAGAAGCACCGGCUAACUACGUG
RNAcentral lists this ribosomal RNA (468 nucleotides) under uncultured bacterium. RNAcentral describes it as "partial 16S ribosomal RNA". It matches the Rfam family "Bacterial small subunit ribosomal RNA", at positions 28 to 507 of the family's 1533-position model. The record is from RNAcentral.